CACGUGGAUAACUUACCCUUAGGUGGAGGAUACACUCGGGAAACUGAGAAUAAUACUCCAUAGAUCUAGGAUGCUGGAAUGCAUCUAGAUUGAAAGUUGCGGCGCCUAAGGAUAGGUCUGCGGACUAUCAGGUUGUAGUCAGGGUAAUGACCUGACUAGCCUACGACGGAUAUGGGUUGUGAGAGCAAUAGCCCAGAGACGAUAUCUGAGACACGAUAUCGGGCCCUACGGGGCGCAGCAGGCGCGAAAUCUUCACAAUGUGCGAAAGCACGAUGAGGGAAUCCCAAGUGCUAGCACGUAAGUGUUAGCUGUUUCUUAGUCUAAAAAACUGAGAGAGUAAGAGCUGGGUAAGACGGGUGCCAGCCGCCGCGGUAAUACCUGCAGCUCGAGUGGUGGCCGCUAUUAUUGGGCCUAAAACGUCCGUAGCCUGUUUAGUAAAUGCCUGGGUAAAUUGUAUAGCUUAACUAUACAAAUACUGGGUAGACUGCUAAACUUGGGACCGGGAGAGGCUAGAGGUACUCCUGGGGUAGAGGUGAAAUUCUGUAAUCCUAGGGGGACCACCAGUGGCGAAGGCGUCUAGCUAGAACG
RNAcentral lists this ribosomal RNA (588 nucleotides) under uncultured archaeon. Its description in RNAcentral is "bacterial SSU rRNA". It matches the Rfam family "Archaeal small subunit ribosomal RNA", at positions 97 to 687 of the family's 1478-position model. The record is from RNAcentral.